Molecule: long non-coding RNA, 602 nt
Organism: Neolamprologus brichardi
Lineage: Eukaryota; Metazoa; Chordata; Actinopteri; Cichliformes; Cichlidae
Source: RefSeq, a predicted model, not a curated record
CAGGACCGGGCACUUACAGGAUGACAGACUGAGGCAUCGUCGUCCUUCUUUUUCUUGCAUUUUCACAAAGCAUGUACCCAGGAGGAAGUUAAAGAACAGAAAUGAUUCUACUGCAAAGCUAUACAGGACACCUAAAACCAACGGGACUGAAAUGUAUUGUACAUAUGUCUCAACAACCUGAGGGCAUUACUCUGGAUGCAGCAAACUGGAAACGCUAAUACAAGCUUCACACCUCAGGAGUGCUACAUUAAUAAGAAAGAGAAACCAGAGGAAGAACUGCAAAAGAAAUCCCAAUGGAAGCCAAGAAGCUGCUCAACAAGACCGACAGGUUCACUGUAAUGUAGACCAAAACGCCAACAGGAUCGGGCCCAGACGCAGACCGGCUGAAGAGAGCUGCAGUCCCCUGAGGAGGCCUGCUCCAUGGCAGUCGCACUACACUUGGACCUAACAGACACCUUGACACAAUGUUCAACAGAGACCUGACACUAUAGAGGAAUCUAUGGAAGAAUCCCAUAAUGGUAAAAAUGGCAGCUGUUCCACCACUGCACCCAACGAGCUUGUUACAGUCAAACAGCAGCAGUGCACGGGCUCAGCAGAGGUUC